CAGAUCAACAACAUGUGUUUCUGCAUAGUGUAAUCGUCGGAUUGAUUUAAGGCUGACUGGCUUUCAGAAGAUAAAUGACAUAUCAAAGGUGCAGUCCGAAGCGACAGGUCACAAAGAAAGGCAACUGACAUAUAGCAGAAGGAAGAGGUGCUACCAAGGAAUUAAAAAAAACUACAGAAAUAUAAUUUGCUCUGGAAAAAAUAUCCCUUCUGGGAAAGUUGGAUCUGUAAAACGGAUGGGCAGACAGCAGCAAUUUUACUCUACUCUUCUCCUGUAAAAGUUAAUUAGCUUUAAAGCCAUAUGGGAGAUAGUCCAGAAAACACAGAAGCAAAGAUUCACAAUCAGGAUAAACUGGUCAUGAAAGUUUUAUGAAA
Molecule: long non-coding RNA, 374 nt
Organism: Xenopus tropicalis (tropical clawed frog)
Lineage: Eukaryota; Metazoa; Chordata; Amphibia; Anura; Pipidae
Exons: 2
Source: RefSeq, a predicted model, not a curated record